GCGAACGAACCAGCCCCGCCAUAGGUGUUUCCAAGACGAGUGAUCAUUUAUGAUAGAGAUUAAGUUUGUUUAAAUUUUAUUUUGAAAUCAGGAUUAUAGGUUCAUGGCUUCCAACAGACUUAAGAAUUUGUUAUUAAUUACCCCACACUUUCAGUGUUAAGGAAUCCUCGAUUAAGAGACCGAAUAUAAAUGCUGAUAAUAAAAGAGGCCAAACAGGCAAAUUGAGUUUUAUUAAUAUAAUUUGCUGUGUACAUGGCUUAAGCAGGGGCAUUUCCCCACUGUACGUAGAUUUUAUAAAAUUAAAUAUGCAAUUUAUAGACUUGAUGGUCGAUUAAAGUUGAGAUGCUCAGUUUAGCGAAAUAGCGGUCGAUUUUGAAUUGAGUUGCUCAGUUUAAUGCAAUGGCAGUCGGUUGAAGUUGAGGUGCUCAGUUUAGUAACAUGGCAGUCGAUUUUAAAUUGAGUUGCUCAGUUUAGCGACAUGGCGAUCGAUUUGAGUUUCGGUGCUCAAUUUAAUGACAUGGCGGUGAAAAGUUCAGUUUAAAUGACUUAAUAAUUACUUGUUCAGUUUAACGACUUGACGGUUAUAUCUGAACUUGAUUUGCUCAGUUUAGUGACUUGGCAGUCGAUUGAGAUUGAAGUGCUCAGUUAGCGACAUGGCGGUCGAUUUUAGAUUGGGUUGCUUAGUUUAAUGACAUGACGGUCGUUUGAAGUUGAGGUAAUCAGUUUAGUGACGUGGCGGUUGAUUCGAGUUUUAGUGCUCAGUUUAAUGACAUGGCGGUCGGUUUGAAUUUUUGGUGCUCAGUUUAAUGACAUGGCAGUCGGUUUGAGUUUUGGUGCUCAGUUUAAUGACUUGGCGGUCGGGUGCUCGGUUUAAUGACUUAACAGUCACUCGUUCAGUUUAGCGACUUGGCGGUCAUAUCUGAACUUGAUUUGCUCAUUUUAGCGACUUUGUGGUCGAUUGAAGUUGAAAUGCUCAGUUUAGCGACAUGACGGUCGAUUUUAAAUUGAAUUGCUCAGUUUAGCAACAUGGCGGUCGAUUUGAAUUUUGGUGCUCAGUUUAAUGACAUGGCGGUCGAAUGUUCAGUUUAACGACUUGAUGGUCAAAUAUUAAGUUUAACGACUUGACGGUCAUAUCCGAAUUUGAUUUGCUCAGUUUAGCGACAUGGCGGUCGACUGAAAUCGAGAUGUUCAUGAAACUGAUUCAUGAAAUUAAUUCAUGCUAGGAGCUCGUUUGUAAAGUUCAUUAAAUUAAUUGAUCAAAUUAAUUCAUGAUAGGGGCCAUUUGGAGAGCCCAUUGAAUUGCGUUUAUAAAAUAAAUUUAUGAUAAGGAGCCAUUUGGAGGGCCCAUUAGUUCAUGAAAUUAAUUUAUGACAAAGAGGGCCGAUGAAACUAAUUCAUAAAAUUAAUUCGUGAUAGGAGGCUUAUUUGGCAAAUCCAUGAAAUUAAUUUGUAGAAUUAAUUCAUGAUAAGGGGUCCAUUUAGAAAGCCCAAGAAAUUAAUUCAUAGAAUUAAUUCAUAAAAAAUGGCCCAUUUGGAAAGCCCAUAAAUUCGGUUUGGAUUAGGGGUAUUUGGAUGAUAUAGAUUUGGUAGAUUUGAUUGUGUUUUAUUUAUGGACUUUGGAUUUUGGAUCUUUGGGUUUUAGGUUUUGGAUCUUAUUUGUGGACUUUGGAUUUUGAGUUAAGAAACUCAUUCAUAUGGAUUUUUAUUGUUUUUGAAUCCAAAUCUGCAUGUGGGUUG
Molecule: long non-coding RNA, 1737 nt
Filed under: Ananas comosus (pineapple)
Lineage: Eukaryota; Viridiplantae; Streptophyta; Magnoliopsida; Poales; Bromeliaceae
Description: long non-coding RNA (ACOM_LNC032493)
Source: RNAcentral